Molecule: ribosomal RNA, 1190 nt
Filed under: Klebsiella pneumoniae
Lineage: Bacteria; Pseudomonadati; Pseudomonadota; Gammaproteobacteria; Enterobacterales; Enterobacteriaceae
Description: bacterial SSU rRNA
Rfam family: Bacterial small subunit ribosomal RNA
Source: RNAcentral
UGGGGGGGGCUAACCAUGCAAGUCGAGCGGUAGCACAGAGAGCUUGCUCUCGGGUGACGAGCGGCGGACGGGUGAGUAAUGUCUGGGAAACUGCCUGAUGGAGGGGGAUAACUACUGGAAACGGUAGCUAAUACCGCAUAAUGUCGCAAGACCAAAGUGGGGGACCUUCGGGCCUCAUGCCAUCAGAUGUGCCCAGAUGGGAUUAGCUAGUAGGUGGGGUAACGGCUCACCUAGGCGACGAUCCCUAGCUGGUCUGAGAGGAUGACCAGCCACACUGGAACUGAGACACGGUCCAGACUCCUACGGGAGGCAGCAGUGGGGAAUAUUGCACAAUGGGCGCAAGCCUGAUGCAGCCAUGCCGCGUGUGUGAAGAAGGCCUUCGGGUUGUAAAGCACUUUCAGCGGGGAGGAAGGCGUUGAGGUUAAUAACCUUAUCGAUUGACGUUACCCGCAGAAGAAGCACCGGCUAACUCCGUGCCAGCAGCCGCGGUAAUACGGAGGGUGCAAGCGUUAAUCGGAAUUACUGGGCGUAAAGCGCACGCAGGCGGUCUGUCAAGUCGGAUGUGAAAUCCCCGGGCUCAACCUGGGAACUGCAUUCGAAACUGGCAGGCUAGAGUCUUGUAGAGGGGGGUAGAAUUCCAGGUGUAGCGGUGAAAUGCGUAGAGAUCUGGAGGAAUACCGGUGGCGAAGGCGGCCCCCUGGACAAAGACUGACGCUCAGGUGCGAAAGCGUGGGGAGCAAACAGGAUUAGAUACCCUGGUAGUCCACGCCGUAAACGAUGUCGAUUUGGAGGUUGUGCCCUUGAGGCGUGGCUUCCGGAGCUAACGCGUUAAAUCGACCGCCUGGGGAGUACGGCCGCAAGGUUAAAACUCAAAUGAAUUGACGGGGGCCCGCACAAGCGGUGGAGCAUGUGGUUUAAUUCGAUGCAACGCGAAGAACCUUACCUGGUCUUGACAUCCACAGAACUUAGCAGAGAUGCAUUGGUGCCUUCGGGAACUGUGAGACAGGUGCUGCAUGGCUGUCGUCAGCUCGUGUUGUGAAAUGUUGGGUUAAGUCCCGCAACGAGCGCAACCCUUAUCCUUUGUUGCCAGCGGUUAGGCCGGGAACUCAAAGGAGACUGCCAGUGAUAAACUGAGAAGGUGGGGAUGACGUCAAGUCAUCAUGGCCCUUUACGACCAGGGCCUACACCAC